UUGAACGCUGGCGGCAUGCUUUACACAUGCAAGUCGAACGGUAGACCCUUUCGGGGGUUGAGAGUGGCGAACGGGUGAGUAAUGCAUCGGAACAUACCCAGUCGUGGGGGAUAACGUAGCGAAAGUUACGCUAAUACCGCAUGAGUCCUGAGGGAGAAAGCGGGGGAUCGCAAGACCUCGCGCGAUUGGAGUGGCCGAUGUCAGAUUAGCUAGUUGGUGGGGUAAAGGCCUACCAAGGCGACGAUCUGUAGCGGGUCUGAGAGGAUGAUCCGCCACACUGGGACUGAGACACGGCCCAGACUCCUACGGGAGGCAGCAGUGGGGAAUUUUGGACAAUGGGCGAAAGCCUGAUCCAGCCAUGCCGCGUGCGGGAAGAAGGCCUUCGGGUUGUAAAGCUCUUUCAGCAGGAGCGAAACGGUCGUUUUUAAUACAGACGGCUAAUGACGGUACCUGCAGAAGAAGCACCGGCUAACUACGU
RNAcentral lists this ribosomal RNA (478 nucleotides) under uncultured bacterium. RNAcentral describes it as "bacterial SSU rRNA". It matches the Rfam family "Bacterial small subunit ribosomal RNA", at positions 30 to 506 of the family's 1533-position model. The record is from RNAcentral.